Molecule: ribosomal RNA, 315 nt
Filed under: Triticum aestivum (bread wheat)
Lineage: Eukaryota; Viridiplantae; Streptophyta; Magnoliopsida; Poales; Poaceae
Description: partial small subunit ribosomal RNA
Source: RNAcentral
AUGGGUAGUUCCCACCUUGGAGCGAUCCAUCCACCAAUCGUUGACGGAGCUCUCCAAAUGCCACAAAGAUGGGUCAAUGCUAUCAAGAUGAAGCUUGUCGAUCAUCAAGCGCCAAAGCCGGAUAGUGAACCGGCACUUGAAAAAGAAAUGGUAACCCAAUUCUUGCACCAUCUUGCAAAGCGGGCAAAGACCGCAAUUCUGUCAUCCCUGCUUGGCCAGCCUAUCAGCAGUCCAAAUGCGGUCUUGCAUAGUCAACCAAGCAAAGAACUUGACCUUUGUCGGUGCCCAAACUUUCCAAAGCACAUGCUCCAUUGA